Molecule: non-coding RNA, 26 nt
Filed under: Homo sapiens (human)
Lineage: Eukaryota; Metazoa; Chordata; Mammalia; Primates; Hominidae
Source: RNAcentral
UGCCACAGUACGGAAUGUUGAAAGGC